RNAcentral lists this transfer RNA (58 nucleotides) under Klebsiella pneumoniae. RNAcentral's name for it is "tRNA-Met". It matches the Rfam family "tRNA", at positions 7 to 61 of the family's 71-position model. Rfam says of the family: Transfer RNA (tRNA) molecules are approximately 80 nucleotides in length. Their secondary structure includes four short double-helical elements and three loops (D, anti-codon, and T loops). The record is from RNAcentral. RNAcentral also lists the same sequence under 1 other name. Lineage: Bacteria; Pseudomonadati; Pseudomonadota; Gammaproteobacteria; Enterobacterales; Enterobacteriaceae.
GUAGCUCAGCUGGUUAGAGCACAUCACUCAUAAUGAUGGGGUCACAGGUUCGAAUCCC